RNAcentral lists this ribosomal RNA (467 nucleotides) under uncultured bacterium. RNAcentral describes it as "partial 16S ribosomal RNA". It matches the Rfam family "Bacterial small subunit ribosomal RNA", at positions 28 to 507 of the family's 1533-position model. The record is from RNAcentral.
GACGAACGCUGGCGGCGUGCUUAACACAUGCAAGUCGAACGGAAAGGCCUCUUUCGGGGGGUACUCGAGUGGCGAACGGGUGAGUAACACGUGAGUAACCUGCCCUUGACUUUGGGAUAACUUCAAGAAACUGGGGCUAAUACCGGAUAGGAGCUCCUGCUGCAUGGUGGGGGUUGGAAAGUUUCGGCGGUUGGGGAUGGACUCGCGGCUUAUCAGCUUGUUGGUGGGGUAGUGGCUUACCAAGGCUUUGACGGGUAGCCGGCCUGAGAGGGUGACCGGCCACAUUGGGACUGAGAUACGGCCCAGACUCCUACGGGAGGCAGCAGUGGGGAAUAUUGCACAAUGGGUGGAAGCCUGAUGCAGCAACGCCGUGUGCGGGAGGACGGCCUUCGGGUUGUAAACCGCUUUCGCUCAUGACGAAGCUUUGUGUGACGGUAGUGGGUAAAGAAGCACCGGCUAACUACGUG